Molecule: long non-coding RNA, 2915 nt
Filed under: Sus scrofa (pig)
Lineage: Eukaryota; Metazoa; Chordata; Mammalia; Artiodactyla; Suidae
Description: lncRNA (ENSSSCG00045029023.1)
Source: RNAcentral
AUACAUCUCAAAUCAACAACCCACCACCUAAAUGAAUUAGAAAAAGACCAAACAAAACCUAAAGUCAUCAGAAGGAAGGAAAUCAUAAAGAUCCGAGGAGAAAUCAAUAAAAUAGAGAUUCAAAAAAAUGAUAUUGCAUUUGUUAACCUCUGAGCCACGACGGGAAAUCCUCAAGAACAUUUUAGCUGGUGAACUUUGAAUUGGAGGCAAGUGCUUAUCUACCUCAGAAGAUAGAGCCUUUCUAGUUCUGUUCAACUCAGCUCAAGGGCCUUUAUAGUUCUGAAAUUUAUGAUUCUAUUAGUCUCCUUCUUGUCUGACUUCUCACACUAGGUCUCAUGUUUCUGACCACUUUUGGGAUAUUUUGCUACUUCAACGUUUCUUUUCUUAACCAGUUUAGAGCUAGCAUGUCUUAAAGUGAAUUCCAGUUUUCUUCUCAAUGUAGUUCCUUUCUCAGUUUCUGUUGUUAUUCAUCUUCCCGGUAAUUUAGACUUGUGAAAAGUUACCCACUCAUGUCCAUCCAUACUCCUGGCCCAUGACUUCUUGAGGCCUAGCAGCCAAAAUUUGCUCUGUAGCCCAUCCCCACGUUUCCAGAACUGUUUGUCUGCAGUGUCCCUCCCAGCCAUCUCCUGUGAACAAAAUUUUUGCCGUCCCACUUCUCUUUUCAGAAAGCCAGUGGUUCUGGUUAGGUAGGGACCUACUAAAUGUGUUUCUCCUUGUAUUUUCAGAGGCCAUAUAAUCUUGUCCUUACCCUAUCCAACUGUGGUUCACACCAUUAAAUAAUUAUUACUCCACUCAGGGAAGACGCUUUAUUAACAGUUGUGUAUCCUGUCUUACGUCAGUUUCUUUUACUUUUCUAACAAAGCCCCCCCCCACAUUUUUCAUAGCCCAGUUUCAUGCUUUCCAGGAAUCUUCUCUGAUGACUCUAGCUCAUAGUGGCUUCUUUCUUUGAAUUCCCAAUGAGUGACACAUGGCUUAUCACUUAAAAUCUUAUAUACUUUUAGAGCUGGAAGUUAUCUUAAGGAUCAGCUCAUCUGUAAAUUUUAUAAAUGACAGAAAAUUUGUAACCUGCCCUCAAUCGUAUUAGUUAAUAGCAAAGCCCAAACGAGACCUCUCACCUAACUUCAUGCAAGGUAGUAUGGAAACAACCAUGGACAGUACUUAAAACUAAUAAAUGUGGUUUUAUCCUAAUAAAACUUUACCAAAAAUUUUGCCAAAAUUGGGGCUUGUGGGCCAUAGUUUGCCAACCUGUUCUAGAGUAUUACUGAUAACCAUCCUAGUAAAUUUUCCUUUUAUAUUGAUAAUAAAUAAACUGUUCUUUUAUAUAAAUAAAAAUGUUCUUGUAUAUUGAUUUUAGAACCAGUACAUUAGACACAUUUUUUAAAACUCUAACUUUUAUUUAGAAUUGCCAUCAGAUAAAUAAGGACAUACAAUUUAUUUUUUACUAUCAGGUAUGAGUUUUCAUGUUUAGUUCAACUUGAGAAGUCAUACAAUAUUUUUUUUCGUUUGAGAAACAUUGCCUGUAGAUGAUAAGGAAGUCUUUAAGUAUAAUUUAUAUAGUAGAUCCAAGAUCUGCAUAAAUGUCAGGUGAUGCCUUUCCAGUGAAAGAAUAGAAUAGUGUUUUUCAUCAUACUCCAGAUACUUGGAAUAAAACAAAAAGUAAAGUUACUGAACCAGGGUCAUAGCAACUUACUAUAAGAGCUAGAAGCAGAACUAAAUAACUUAGUCGACUCAAGUCUGUUGAACAACAGAUUCAGACUACUUUUGGCUGUUAAAAUUCCCAUGGCUCUCCUCAUAGGAAAUAACACCAUUCAUGCUGUUAUCCUUGCUGCAUUCUGACCAGUAUAGCAGUUACGCUUUUAGUCUUACUUGAACUCCCUCGUUGAAUGUAAUUUCUGAGCUGAGCUCUAGCCAGCUCACUGGGUGUAUUAACACCCCUGCUCUGAAGGGGUCUCCUCUGCUUUGUUUCUUCACUAUUGAGCAAUUUCAUUUCUACUGUUCAGCAGUUAGCUACUAUCCUGUAUGGGAAAAUUGGCAUUUUAUGAUCAGUGUAAUGUAUAUUUGAUGGACUGUUUACUUUAUAUAAGAACAAAACUGAACUUGAGCAUGUCUGAGAUGUAAACAUGAUGACAUUGUGGCAAGAGGGAUAAAUGUUUUCAAAUAAAGAUAUUAGAAUCAACCUUUGAAAUAUAGAGACCUUUUAAUUUUGACAGUCAAAACCCACUACUCUGUGCCACAUUAUUAAACUAGCAGUUCUCAAGAUUUUUCUCCUCAGGACUUUAAAAAUUAUUGGAUUAUGUCUAUCAGUAUUUGCUAGAAUUAGAGCACAUUUAAAAUACAUUUAUUAAUUUUUUAAAAAUAGCAUCAGUAAACCCAUUCCAUGUUAACAUAGAUUUUAUGAAAAAUAUACGUUGGUUUAAAUAUAUGAUGAAAAAUAUUUGAAGAGGGCAUUGUUUUACAUCUUUGCAAAUCUCUUUAUUGUCUGAUUUAGUAGACCACAGCUGAAUUCUGCUUUUGUAGUCUCUUGUGAGAGGUUGUUUUACUUGAACUGUGAAGGAAACACACAUGCACACACAUGCAGUUGGAAAAAGGAAGACUAUUUUAACAGCCUUUUCUGAUAAUUGUGGAUAUUUUUCUUAGAUAAUACAAACAGUAAUUUUUAUUCGUUAAUAGCAGUGUGGAAUCUAAAACCAUAUCUGUAAACUUACUGUACUAUGUUACAUUAAAAUCCACUGGUUUGUCUUACAUCUUGCCUACAUACAUUCAUUCACCUAUUUGUUGGGCGUAUGUGUGUGUGUGUGUGUGUGCACAUGCACACGCAUGUUUAAUUCCUGUUUUAUCUUUUUUCUUGUUCUUUUUUUUUUUUUUUUUUUUUUUUUUUUUUUUUGCUUUUUAGGGCGGUACCCAUGACAUACAGA